AUUUGUGCACAGCGAACAUGCAUGCACAUGCUUUUGAGCAACACACUUAUUACACACUAUGUAAUUAUGACUACAGGUCUAUGCUUUCACAAAUCUUUGAAGAGAGGAAAUGGAAAGGUGGAAACUGUCCAGGCUAUGCAGAUUGAAACACAAGGACUUGCUCUGGUGCAACAACCACUUCUUCAAUCAAGUCUUCUACAUAAGUGUUUCUCUAAAAGAGAUUAAAUAUUAAAGCCAAUUUCACACAACUCAGAGCAGAGAGGUGGGGGCAGGAGGAGAAGAGUUAAAUUGAGAUCAAAAUGUUACUGAGAAACAGUAAAUAUAAAUAUGUACUGUAGUA
This is a long non-coding RNA of Alligator mississippiensis (American alligator), 340 nucleotides long. RefSeq lists it as uncharacterized. NCBI's taxonomy places the organism in Eukaryota, Metazoa, Chordata, Crocodylia, Alligatoridae. The record is from RefSeq and is a predicted model, not a curated record. The transcript is spliced from 2 exons.